AGCAGGUGAAUUGAAUUUGUUGCUGGAUGACGAGGUGUUCUGGGGGAAGAGCUAGUCUAAGGAAAACUUCCUCUUACUGCCCCUUCCCAUCUCAAAUGGCCACUGCCUGGGGAAAUAGGUUCUUUAUGAGAUUAACUACAACGUUACAGUGAGGACGAGGAAUCAUCAUUACUCCCAUAGUUAUUUGCUGCCAGGCCGCAGCGUUGAUUUCAGAGACUUUUUUUUUUUUUAAAAAAAAAAAAAAGGAAAAAGAAAGGAAGUAUGUAUUCUUUCACAUCCUCUCUUUUCCCCGAGAGUAAAUGUUGUAGCUUCAGCAGUACCCUUCCUCUGGAAACAAUUCCCAGUACCUGCUCAGACACUGGGGAGGAAAAUGACAGAGAGAACAAUGGAGGAGAGCCAGCCGACAUAAAUAAAGGAAAAAAGGGGUUAUGGAUUAAGGGAAAGCCACUACAUAAAAAAUUGGUGCUCUCUAAAAAUUGGUUAAGGGUUUGGGACCUGCAGGUGCUGCCUACACCUGCGUGUGUUGCAGUCGUGCCUGUUGCCACUGCGCAAAAUGGAGAGAGCUUCUUUGUCGAAUGCAGCAUGUUAAAGCAUGCGCCAUUGCCUGGAAGAAAAGCACGGACUUCCCUCGUGUGGGACUUCUUCCCUAUUGAUCUGUGGUUAACUGAAGGUUUACCAUAACCUGCAUAUGUUUCAAAAAACAAAACAAAACAAAACAAAAACCAACAGCAACAUUAAAGAGUGGCAAGGCAGAUGCGCAUCUGGGGACUCUGACUCAUCGGUGACAUCACCAAGCAAAGCACUGUGAGCGCUUCGGGUCGGGGCUGCUGCGGCGAGCCUCGCAGGUGGGAGGGAGAGCGGGUACGGUUCGCCUGUGGCGGGUCUGCGUCAGCCCUCUGCCCUGGUGGCUUCGUUAGCAGUGAGAGUUUGACUCCCGUGUUCCCAGCUUUCGCUUCUGCACCGAGCGUGUGGCAGAGCCCGCAAGCUGCUUCCUCAUCUGGAAGAGGAAGAGGAGUGACCUCAACUGUGCCGAGGGUUACUUUUAAAGAGAAGAUUUCACUGAUCACAAGCCAGUAGAAGACCUUCAGUCCAAGCAAGGGUGAAGACAGCUCUCUCCAAGAGCAGAGGAAGUCCCUGUGGAGAGAACCCGAGCUUGUUCUCAGAACUUGUCAGCAUGUCUGAACAAGGAGACGAUUGCUACUUCUAUUUCUAUUCUACCUGUACCAAGGGAGACAACUGUUCCUUCCGCCACUGCGAAGCUGCUCUGGGGAACGAGACGGUCUGCACGCUGUGGCAGGAGGGUCGUUGUUUCAGGAAUGUCUGCCGAUUCAGACACAUGGAAAUUGAUAUGAGUGCCUAAAGAUGUGUUCUCAAAAUAAGUCAACAAAAGCAUUUGUCAGUGCUGUAGGUGUGCUGCUUGUGCUUUUGCAGGAUAGAUUCAUCAGCUUUGAAAUUACACUGCUUUCUGUUACCAGGAGAGGGGGUGGGAGGAAGGAGAGGGAAAUAAAAUCAGUGCCUUAGGUAUGUCUUAGCAAGAUUUUCUUUUAUUAGAUGCCGACAGUAUUUUCUCAACAGAUGCAGAAUAACUGCUAAAUAGACUGCUAAAACCUGCUGGAGCAGGGCGGGUAAUAAACAGGCUGUACUAGCCUCCUGAGAGCAGGCUUGAGAAUGAUCUAUCAGGUCUCUUGUGUCCCGGAGUCCUUCAGAUAAUGCUGUUCUAGCUGCCUGGGGUAGGAAGCAGUGGGGAAAGUUAAAGGUGCAGAAGAACGAAGUCUCCAAGAAGUAGUUCUAGAUAGAGUUAAC
Cygnus olor (mute swan) is the source of this 1803-nucleotide long non-coding RNA. RefSeq lists it as uncharacterized. Lineage: Eukaryota; Metazoa; Chordata; Aves; Anseriformes; Anatidae. The record is from RefSeq and is a predicted model, not a curated record. The transcript is spliced from 3 exons.